Molecule: ribosomal RNA, 253 nt
Filed under: uncultured bacterium
Lineage: Bacteria
Description: partial 16S ribosomal RNA
Rfam family: Bacterial small subunit ribosomal RNA
Source: RNAcentral
UACGAAGGGGGCUAGCGUUGCUCGGAAUUACUGGGCGUAAAGCGCACGUAGGCGGAUUGUUAAGUCGGGGGUGAAAUCCUGGAGCUCAACUCCAGAACUGCCUUCGAUACUGGCGAUCUCGAGUUCGGGAGAGGUGAGUGGAACUGCGAGUGUAGAGGUGAAAUUCGUAGAUAUUCGCAAGAACACCAGUGGCGAAGGCGGCUCACUGGCCCGAUACCGACGCUGAGGUGCGAAAGCGUGGGGAGCAAACAGG